GAUGAACGCUGGCGGCGUGCCUAAUACAUGCAAGUCGAGUGAACAGACGAGGAGCUUGCUCCUCUGACGUUAGCGGCGGACGGGUGAGUAACACGUGGAUAACCUACCUAUAAGACUGGGAUAACUUCGGGAAACCGGAGCUAAUACCGGAUAAUAUAUUGAACCGCAUGGUUCAAUAGUGAAAGACGGUUUUGCUGUCACUUAUAGAUGGAUCCGCGCCGCAUUAGCUAGUUGGUAAGGUAACGGCUUACCAAGGCAACGAUGCGUAGCCGACCUGAGAGGGUGAUCGGCCACACUGGAACUGUGACACGGUCCAGACUCCUACGGGAGGCAGCAGUAGGGAAUCUUCCGCAAUGGGCGAAAGCCUGACGGAGCAACGCCGCGUGAGUGAUGAAGGUCUUCGGAUCGUAAAACUCUGUUAUUAGGGAAGAACAAAUGUGUAAGUAACUAUGCACGUCUUGACGGUACCUAAUCAGAAAGCCACGGCUAACUACGUG
RNAcentral lists this ribosomal RNA (497 nucleotides) under uncultured bacterium. Its description in RNAcentral is "partial 16S ribosomal RNA". It matches the Rfam family "Bacterial small subunit ribosomal RNA", at positions 28 to 507 of the family's 1533-position model. The record is from RNAcentral.